AUUGAAUCAUGGGGUCCAGUCCUUCCCCUGCUGUUCUCGUGAUAGUGAAUAAGUCUCACGAGAUCUGAUGGGUUUAUCAGGGGUUUCCGCUUUUGCUUCUUCCUCAUGCUUUUAAUCUUGGUGCCAUCAUGUAAGAAGUGCCUUUCACCUCUCACCAUGAUUCUGAGGCCUCCCCAGAGAUGUGGAACUAAGAUGCAGCAACAAGGUAUCAUCUUGGAAGCAGAGACAGGGCCUUCACCAGACACCAAACCCAAAGAUCCCUUCAUCUUGGACUUUCAGCCUCCAGAACUGUGAGAAAUAAAUUCCUAUUCUUUUAAAAUUA
RNAcentral lists this long non-coding RNA (322 nucleotides) under Homo sapiens (human). RNAcentral's name for it is "HSALNT0343116". Lineage: Eukaryota; Metazoa; Chordata; Mammalia; Primates; Hominidae. The record is from RNAcentral.